CAGAGGGUGCAAGCGUUGUUCGGAAUUACUGGGCGUAAAGCGCGCGCAGGCGGGUCCUGUAAGUCGGAAGUGAAAUUUCGGAGCUCAACUCCGAAGCUGCUUCUGAUACUGCGGAUCUAGGGACUGGUAGAGGCUGGGUAGAAUUACAGGUGUAGCGGUGGAAUGCGUAGAUAUCUGUAAGAAUACCCGUGGCGAAGGCGGCCAGCUGGGCCAGGUCCGACGCUGAGGCGCGAAAGCGUGGGGAGCAAACAGGAUUAGAUACCCUGGUAGUCCACGCCGUAAACGAUGGGCACUAGGUGCCGGGGGGAGCGACCCCUUCGGUGCCGCAGCUAACGCGAUAAGUGCCCCGCCUGGGGAGUACGGCCGCAAGGCUG
Molecule: ribosomal RNA, 374 nt
Filed under: uncultured organism
Description: bacterial SSU rRNA
Rfam family: Bacterial small subunit ribosomal RNA
Source: RNAcentral